Molecule: long non-coding RNA, 5362 nt
Filed under: Sus scrofa (pig)
Lineage: Eukaryota; Metazoa; Chordata; Mammalia; Artiodactyla; Suidae
Description: lncRNA (ENSSSCG00030040413.1)
Source: RNAcentral
GGGAGGCCCCUAACUAAGGGAGAGGUGCUUUGUCCAUAGCUUCCUGAGGCCCCUGACUGCCAAUCAUGAGGCAGCAUCUUGGGCUUAACGCCUUAAUUUCCGGAGGAAAGUGCUGUAUCUCAUCGACCUGCCAUCCAUGCUUGGGGAGGCACUUUCAAGGGACUCCCCUGGGCCAAAAAAUUCCUUCACCAACCCUGUGAUUUAAGAUACGCCCGCUCCUCCCCAGGGUGUUUCUCUGACACUGAGAACAGCAUUUAUUCUGUUCUCAGGGUUGUCUGUCCCUGAGAAGGCCCACCUUGCCCUGUUUGUGUGUGUUUGCGGGGAUGGGGAAGAAGGGCAAUGAGAAUGGGUAGGGUGGGGUGGGGUGGGGGUUGAAGGCCACUCAUCCUGUGACUGUGCUCAGAGCCCUUCCUGGCUUUCAUUUUCGUCUCCUGGUGAUGCGUUUGUAACCUGUGCUGCCACAGAACAGAUGGAAGAGGGACUUAUUUUGAAAUAAUCAUAGAUUCAUAGGGAAUAUAGUGCUGAGAGAUUCCGUGUACCCUUUGCCCAGUUCCUCCCACAGGUUUCUUCUUACAGAGCUACAGUGUAGUACCAAAAGCAGGACGCUGACUUGAUGAUGGUGUGUGAGUAGAGGUCCAGGCCAUUGGAUCAUCCCACCACUUCAAGACAGAACUAUCCCAUGGCACAGAGAUUUUGCUGCUCUCCCUAAGUCUUUCUUUAGUGCUGCAAUUUUGUCAUUUUGAGAACAUUGUAUGAAUGGAGUCAUGCAAUAUGUGACCUAUUACGACUGACUUUUUCAUUCAGCCUAAUGUCCUUGAGAUCUAUCCAAGCUGUUCCAUGAAUCAAUAGUUUGUUCCUGGAGUUCCCGUCGUGGCGCAGUGGUUAACGAAUCCGACUAGGAACCAUGAGGUUGCGGGUUCGGUCCCUGCCCUUGCUCAGUGGGUUAACGAUCCAGCGUUGCCGUGAGCUGUGCCGCUCGCCUAAGCCACAGCCACAGCAACUUGGGAUCCAAGCCUUGUCUGUGACCUACAUCACAGCUCACAGCAACACCGGAUCCUUAACCCACUGAACAAGGCCAGGGAUCAAACCUGCGUCCUCAUGGAUGCUAGUCAGAUUCAUUUCUGCUGAGCCAUGACGGGAGCUCCAGGAUCUGGGGUCUUUUUUUGCUCUAGCUUUCCUUCUGGCCAUAGCUGAAUGGUUGUCUUUUCCCUUGAAUUUGAUUUUUCAGUCUCUGUUCCUAAGCUGUUUUCUGUUCUCAGUGACAGCCCUGCAAGAGAGGCAUCAACAUCUCCAUUUCGUCCUUGAAAUCGAGGCACAUCCAAGACCAUGUAUCCAGUAAAUCCCAAAGCAGAAAUUCCCACCAGGGUCAUCGCACUCCUAGCCCCUACUCACCCUAGCCACAGAAUGCCUCUCAGUUAUGGAUUCUCCCAUCUAUGGACAUUUGGGCCUGAGCUCAGUGAUCUCUGAGGUCCUUUCAGUUUCUCAGAUUCCUAUCUCAUGCUGUCAAGUUGUAGAUUGACAUGAGACCAGGAACAAGGCCAGUUGAGUCUGAGCUUUGCCUGGAGACCGGCCCUGAAACCUGGCGAGAGUAGAGGGGACGGGCCAGCCAGCUUGUCGUCAAUCAAUUCCAGCUCUCUUGGUUUAAAGGAUCUUGAUUCCCUGGAACAGAACAGAUUAAAUUUGAUCAGGGUGGGAAUGAAACCAAGGCUGGGAGUCUCAAGCCUCACUGUGGGGUGGGUGGGAUGGCCCACUCCAGUGAGCAGCCUGCUUCCAGAGCCACCUUCCCAGCCUCGUCAUGGCCUUGUUGGGUGGAGAUGCUGUGGAGACGCUAGCUUGCGGGGGCGGGGGAGGCGCCAGCCCUGGGCAGUAACUUCAAGAUUUGCAACCUUUGGGACACUCAGUCUGGUCAGUACUGGCACUGACCCCCUCAGGGUUGCCCCCUGCCUCUAGAAAUGUGGGCAGACUCACUCUUUCUGUAAGUUCAGUGUACACCCAAAUUCUAAAGGAACCUGGGCAUUUCACCUUGUCCACCCAAACAUCAGCCGUACCUAUUUCUGUUCUGAAGGAUGCUCUGUCCAUCACCUCUGGGAGAUGCUGGCCUGAAGAGACGGCUUCAGUUAGAAUGCAGAUGGCAUCAGGGAGGGCUACCAUAAGCUGGUAUUUGCCAAUCCGCCCCACCAAGAUGCCCUGGAUUCUAGAAGCGGGUGAUUGGGUCUCCACGUCGAGGCAGGACAAGGAAAUGAAGGGAGGUGUCUCGAGAUUUGGCUUGACUUCCCGUGAAUGCUACAGUUCUGUGGCAUUUUAUGUUUACCCGAGAAUCAGGCGAAGUUUCUAUUUUCCUCAACAAUAGAUCUUUGUGUCUUCAAAUCACAAAGUGUAUGUUCCUCCAAAUCUUGGAGGGACAGUGAUGCUCCAGGAAGCUAUGUUGUGUCUAGCCCUCAUCUCCCGGAUGUGACUCCCAGGUGAAACUUAAGUGAGUUUAGAAAACGAUGCAACUCACCUCAAGUCAGAACGCGUUCAUCUGGUUAAUUCACCCAGUCAGCUUGUUGGGCGUAGAGGGCAUGGUACUGAGACAACCGAAGCGGAACAGGGGCAGGGUGUGGAUGACAGACAAUUCCUGGGCUGCACCUGGGGGCACCCCAGGAGAGAAGCUGGCUAGAGAAGGCGGUAUGGCCCCUGUGAGUCCAGGGUAAGGGAGUAAUGGGGGGAGGUUGGGGAUGCAGGGCAGCAGGCUUCCAGAGUCACGCUGAUCCUGCCCAACUGGCUGCCACAGAUUGCAGGAUGGGAUUGAACGGACCACAUUCCCAGUCUGUUUUACAAGUCAUUCCUGCCUGUGCUUCAGGCCCUUUUGUAAUUGUUUGGCUAUGCCUUUGAGUCACGGUGCAUUUGAGGGAAGUGGCAGGAGCAGAGUGCUGGCGCAGGAGCUGUUCCUCAGCCUUCGCUGCGUGUCUGUGUCUGCCGUGGGAGGCUCUUCCCCAGGCUUCACUGUGCACACUCGGCGCCCUAAGAGGAAAUGACUCCUAAGAGUGGAAUCAUUCAUGUUGAUUCCAAGAAACAAUGCACUGUAGGGCCCUGCUUCCCAGAGGGACCCCCUGCUUCCAUUUGCCCAGGACGGAGAUUAGUCCUGGGACCGAGGACUUUCAGUUUUAAAACUGGAAGAGUUCUGGGUGGAUUGGGAUGGAUUGGUCACCCUACUGCCUCCCUUGCUGUGACAUUUACAAGAAUGAACUGCCAUCCAUGGACUAUGGAAGGUAAGGGAUGGUGCCCAGGAGUGGAAAUGAGCCCCAAGGACCCUUGAUAAGAAGGAACAGGAAGCUUCAGGGAGAACACGAGUGACAGGGGCCAUUUCUCCCUCUUGACCUCCUCCUGCCCAGACUGUCUUCAUUGCCAUCAUGAUCUGUGUGGUGUUUUUAACUCCUCAUUGUGUAUAAUCCACACUAAUAAUGAUAAAACUGAGCCAUGGUGCCCCUGGCUUAUAGAACUACUGAAUUUCAGAAAUGAGAGUGACGGGGAAGCUCAUGUGCUCAAAGAGGCAGGAAUCCUCUUGCCAGUCUUGCAUAGCCCCAGUGAUGGGGAACUCACCACAUCACAAGACAGGUUCAGCACCCUAGGCUUUUGACCGGUCUCCCCUGUGUUGAGCUGAGGCUGCCCCACCCUUCUGCGGACGGCCCCCAAAGGGAAGCUAGCAGACCCCCCUCUUCCUGGUUCCUCUCCUCACUCUUUCUGCUAGAAAGUGGUCUCCCCUCUCUCACUAGUCCCUCUGGCUGGGUUGAAACAGAAAGCCAGGCUACCUCCCUCUAAAAGCUGGGCUGGGAUCUGAAGGCAGGCAGUGCUGAGGGCCAGGUGUGGCCCCUGACGCUUGUUGUCCCAGUUCACACGGGUUUCCUCAUGGGUUCUGGUUGUCACUCAUGAAGGGGAGGCUGGUGGGUUUCCUGGGACCAGAGGAGACCUUCCCUUGACAGAGCCCCCACCCCAUCAGGCCCUGCAAGCUUCUUAUGCCCUCAGGAGCUCCAGGCCUGCCCCCUCCCACCCCUACCCUCACAGUCUUCCUUCUCACCCCCAUCCUGCUGUCUUCUCAACUCAACCCUCACUGCCCCCUGACUUCGGGAGCAUCCAUGGAGUGUCUGUGCCCAGCCUUGAAGAGCCCUGGACAGGUCGUUAGGUCCAUCCUCCAGCCUCGCUGGACAACAUCUCUCUGGAGCAAGUAGUCAAGGGGCUCACUGGGGACCAGUUCCCCGACUUUAUCACCAGAGGGCCCAGCAGAGACCCUUACAGAGGGCUCCUGACCCCCUGUACCCCAGGCUGCACCCCCACAUCCCACACACCCAGACUGGUGGAGCCAAAUUAGUGGAGAGGGAGCCUUGUCUAGCGGGCCGUCUCUAGCCCUGGACCUUGUCACUGACUUGGAUAGUGAACUUCAGGACUUUCUAGCUGCCACUUCAUUUUCAACCGGCUCUUGCGGUCAGGAAGCUGCCCUCCAGGUUUCUCCUGCAGUGUCCCAGCAAGGCGCAGGCCCACUGGCUCAGCGGGUAAAUGUUAUACCUAAACAUGUACGGUUAACAAGAAGUAGGGACAAGUGCUAAUCAAGCCUGUUUUGGUUUAUCUUAAAGUCACAAAUAUUUAGAGUUCCCACCCUCAGCACCAACACAUUUUUUUUCUGUACUAUCUUUACAAAGACGAAUCUGUUUUAUUAGGACACGUGUGUGGUAAAAUAUAUGAAGCAUGUGGGCAUUUAAUUGUGCAUUGGGUUGUGGGAGGGACCCAUAUGUGCCAAAUUUAGUGAAAUAACAAGGUCAGGUGCUUUAGAAACUCUCUCUAUGCUGCAGGGUGCCUGUUGUCUGUGUUGUGUAGGGGAGGAAACUGACAGGAAGAUGGUGGGUAUUGCCACAUCAGGGAAUGAAAGAGCUGGGAUUCAGGGAUGCUCUCAUAAGACCCCAUCCUCUGCGGCUGCUCCCCGGGUCCCACUGCACACCACAGCCAGCCAAACCCAGGGCUCUGCUACUUUGGAUGCCAUACCGACAGACAGCAGGGCUGCUUGUUUAUAUUGUUUUAUUUCCCCAAGUUCAGUUUGACACUGGUGGCUUUGAAAGCCCUUCUAAGUUUUCCUCUCUUGCUGCACAUUCAUAAGGCAUGACCCACGGUCAUGAGGCAAAGCCGAUGCUCCAGCUGGACAGUGCGCCGACGUUUGGACCAGGGACCCGGUGUGGAGUGGGUGCGGCCAACUAAAUGGCUUAGAAACACUUCCUGAACAAGUAAAUGAAAACCCAGUCUGCUGAGAAAUGUUUUAUCAUGUAAGUCAUCUGCUCAGAAACUUUUCAUGAGGAAACAACUUGUAUAUCUAGCUACUGGAGAGGCAGUAAAU